GACGAACGCUGGCGGCGUGCUUAACACAUGCAAGUCGAACGGAAAGGCCCUGCUUUUGUGGGGUGCUCGAGUGGCGAACGGGUGAGUAACACGUGAGUAACCUGUCCUUGACUUUGGGAUAACUUCAGGAAACUGGGGCUAAUACCGGAUAGGAGCUCCUGCUGCAUGGUGGGGGUUGGAAAGUUUCGGCGGUUGGGGAUGGACUCGCGGCUUAUCAGCUUGUUGGUGGGGUAGUGGCUUACCAAGGCUUUGACGGGUAGCCGGCCUGAGAGGGUGACCGGCCACAUUGGGACUGAGAUACGGCCCAGACUCCUACGGGAGGCAGCAGUGGGGAAUAUUGCACAAUGGGCGGAAGCCUGAUGCAGCAACGCCGCGUGCGGGAUGACGGCCUUCGGGUUGUAAACCGCUUCCGCCUGUGACGAAGCGUGAGUGACGGUAAUGGGUAAAGAAGCACCGGCUAACUACGUGCCAGCAGCCGCGGUGAUACGUAGGGUGCGAGCGUUGUCCGGAUUUAUUGGGCGUAAAGGGCUCGUAGGUGGUUGAUCGCGUCGGAAGUGUAAUCUUGGGGCUUAACCCUGAGCGUGCUUUCGAUACGGGUUGACUUGAGGAAGGUAGGGGAGAAUGGAAUUCCUGGUGGAGCGGUGGAAUGCGCAGAUAUCAGGAGGAACACCAGUGGCGAAGGCGGUUCUCUGGGCCUUUCCUGACGCUGAGGAGCGAAAGCGUGGGGAGCGAACAGGCUUAGAUACCCUGGUAGUCCACGCUGUAAACGGUGGGUACUAGGUGUGGGGUCCAUUCCACGGGUUCCGUGCCGUAGCUAACGCUUUAAGUACCCCGCCUGGGGAGUACGGCCGCAAGGCUAAAACUCAAAGGAAUUGACGGGGCCCCGCACAAGCGGCGGAGCAUGCGGAUUAAUUCGAUGCAACGCGUAGAACCUUACCUGGGUUUGACAUGGAUCGGGAGCGCUCAGAGAUGGGUGUGCCUCUUUUGGGGUCGGUUCACAGGUGGUGCAUGGCUGUCGUCAGCUCGUGUCGUGAGAUGUUGGGUUAAGUCCCGCAACGAGCGCAACCCUUGUUCACUGUUGCCAGCACGUUAUGGUGGGGACUCAGUGGAGACCGCCGGGGUCAACUCGGAGGAAGGUGGGGAUGACGACAAGUCAUCAUGCCCCUUAUGUCCAGGGCUUCACGCAUGCUACAAUGGCUGGUACAGAGAGUGGCGAGCCUGUGAGGGUGAGCGAAUCUCGGAAAGCCGGUCUCAGUUCGGAUUGGGGUCUGCAACUCGACCUCAUGAAGUCGGAGUCGCUAGUAAUCGCAGAUCAGCAACGCUGCGGUGAAUACGUUCCCGGG
This 1343-nucleotide ribosomal RNA is filed under the name uncultured bacterium. RNAcentral's name for it is "16S ribosomal RNA". It matches the Rfam family "Bacterial small subunit ribosomal RNA", at positions 28 to 1378 of the family's 1533-position model. The record is from RNAcentral.